RNAcentral lists this ribosomal RNA (253 nucleotides) under uncultured bacterium. RNAcentral's name for it is "partial 16S ribosomal RNA". It matches the Rfam family "Bacterial small subunit ribosomal RNA", at positions 524 to 776 of the family's 1533-position model. The record is from RNAcentral.
CACGUAGGGCGCAAGCGUUGUCCGGAAUUAUUGGGCGUAAAGAGCUCGUAGGCGGUCCGUCACGUCCGCUGUGAAAACCCAGGGCUCAACCCUGGGCUUGCAGUGGAUACGGGCAGACUAGAGGUAGGUAGGGGAGAAUGGAAUUCCUGGUGUAGCGGUGAAAUGCGCAGAUAUCAGGAGGAACACCGAUGGCGAAGGCAGGUCUCUGGGCAUUAACUGACGCUGAGGAGCGAAAGCAUGGGGAGCGAACAGG